This 397-nucleotide ribosomal RNA is filed under the name uncultured bacterium. RNAcentral's name for it is "bacterial SSU rRNA". It matches the Rfam family "Bacterial small subunit ribosomal RNA", at positions 28 to 419 of the family's 1533-position model. The record is from RNAcentral.
GAUGAACGCUAGCGGCAGGCUUAAUACAUGCAAGUCGAGGGGCAGCAGGUCUGUAGCAAUACAGAUGCUGGCGACUGGCAAACGGGUGCGGAACACGUACAGAACCUUCCUUCGAGCGGGGAAUAGCCCAGAGAAAUUUGGAUUAAUACCCCAUAGUAUAUUGAAGAGGCAUCUCUUUAAUAUUAAAGAUUUAUCACUUGAAGAUGGCUGUGCGGCUGAUUAGGUAGUUGGCGGGUAACGGCCCACCAAGCCUACGAUCAGUAACUGGUGUGAGAGCACGACCAGUCACACGGGCACUGAGACACGGGCCCGACUCCUACGGGAGGCAGCAGUAAGGAAUAUUGGUCAAUGGACGCAAGUCUGAACCAGCCAUGCCGCGUGGAGGAUGAAGGUCCUC